UGCCAGCAGCCGCGGUAAUACGUAGGAUCCAAGCGUUGUCCGGAAUUACUGGGUGUAAAGGGUGCGUAGGCGGGCUUGUGCGUCAGGGGUUAAAUCCCACGGCUUAACCGUGGAGCUGCCCUUGAUACGGCAAGUCUUGAGUGUGAGAGAGGAUGGUAGAAUUCCUGGUGUAGCGGUGAAAUGCGUAGAUAUCAGGAGGAAUACCAGUGGCGAAGGCGGCCAUCUGGCUCACUACUGACGCUGAGGCACGAAAGCGUGGGGAGCGAACAGGAUUAGAUA
This 279-nucleotide ribosomal RNA is filed under the name uncultured bacterium. Its description in RNAcentral is "partial 16S ribosomal RNA". It matches the Rfam family "Bacterial small subunit ribosomal RNA", at positions 506 to 784 of the family's 1533-position model. The record is from RNAcentral.